GGCGGGGUAGUUCAGCCCGGUAGAACAGGCGGCUCAUAACCGCGAUGUCGGAGGUUCAAAUCCUUCCCCCGCAA
Molecule: transfer RNA, 74 nt
Filed under: Mesorhizobium sp. Root554
Lineage: Bacteria; Pseudomonadati; Pseudomonadota; Alphaproteobacteria; Hyphomicrobiales; Phyllobacteriaceae
Rfam family: tRNA
About the family: Transfer RNA (tRNA) molecules are approximately 80 nucleotides in length.
Source: Rfam by way of RNAcentral